AUUGAACGCUGGCGGCAGGCCUAACACAUGCAAGUCGAACGGUAACAGGAAGCAGCUUGCUGCUUUGCUGACGAGUGGCGGACGGGUGAGUAAUGUCUGGGAAACUGCCUGAUGGAGGGGGAUAACUACUGGAAACGGUAGCUAAUACCGCAUAACGUCGCAAGACCAAAGAGGGGGACCUUCGGGCCUCUUGCCAUCAGAUGUGCCCAGAUGGGAUUAGCUUGUUGGUGGGGUAACGGCUCACCAAGGCGACGAUCCCUAGCUGGUCUGAGAGGAUGACCAGCCACACUGGAACUGAGACACGGUCCAGACUCCUACGGGAGGCAGCAGUGGGGAAUAUUGCACAAUGGGCGCAAGCCUGAUGCAGCCAUGCCGCGUGUAUGAAGAAGGCCUUCGGGUUGUAAAGUACUUUCAGCGGGGAGGAAGGUGUUGUGGUUAAUAACCACAGCAAUUGACGUUACCCGCAGAAGAAGCACCGGCUAACUCCGUGCCAGCCGCUGC
RNAcentral lists this ribosomal RNA (501 nucleotides) under uncultured bacterium. Its description in RNAcentral is "bacterial SSU rRNA". It matches the Rfam family "Bacterial small subunit ribosomal RNA", at positions 30 to 518 of the family's 1533-position model. The record is from RNAcentral.